GAGAUGCAGUGGAGUUCUAAAAAUUGUGAGAUAAGAAUUUUUUCCUUUCUAAAAUUAUGGUUGGAGGUGUUCUAAUUUUUAGAAUUCCUCCUAAAACUAUGGUUGGAGUGAGAAUAUUUUUUUUUAAACUAUAGUUGGAAGUGUUCUAAUCUCUCCUAAUUUUUUUUUUUAAUGUUUAGAAUCCCUCCUAAAACUAUGGUUGGAGCCUGGAGGUGUUCUAUAUUUGUUACAUUUAGAAAAGAGGUGGUCCCCAAUUGUCUGAAUAGACCAAAAUCCACCUACAUACUCGCUAGGGCUAGAAUUAUUAUCUAAGAUCCAGACUCAAUUUGAGAUCCGAUCCAAAUCCGUUCAUGAGAGGUCAUAUCCGAAUAGUAAAAUGUUGGAUCCGUCAAAACUGAAUUUGGAUUCGGAUAUUUUAAUUUUUUAAUCUAGAUAUCGGGAUCCAUAUUCUUAUUGAUAAUUAUUUCAAAAAUAGUAAUAUUUAUAUAUAAAUAUUAAUUGUAUUUAU
This 508-nucleotide long non-coding RNA is filed under the name Brassica napus (rape). RNAcentral describes it as "long non-coding RNA (BNAP_LNC023844)". The record is from RNAcentral. Lineage: Eukaryota; Viridiplantae; Streptophyta; Magnoliopsida; Brassicales; Brassicaceae.